CCCUUAGAUGUCCUGGGCUGCACGCGCGCUACACUGAUGUGUCCAGUAAGCACCUAACCUCUUCCGAAAGGAACGGGUAACCUUUGCAAAGCACAUCGGGAUGGGGAUAGAUUAUUGCAAUUAUUAGUCUUGAACGAGGAAUUCCUAGUAAGCACAAGUCAUCAGCUUGUGUUGAUUACGUCCCUGCCCUUUGUACACACCGCCCGUCGCUCCUACCGAUUGAAUGUUCCGGUGAGCUCUUCGGACUGCGCGGUCUGCAGUUUCUGCGUUCCGUGCGGAAAGUUGCGCAAACCUUAACAUUUAGAGGAAGGAGAAGUCGUAACA
RNAcentral lists this ribosomal RNA (324 nucleotides) under uncultured eukaryote. Its description in RNAcentral is "partial 18S ribosomal RNA". It matches the Rfam family "Eukaryotic small subunit ribosomal RNA", at positions 1470 to 1796 of the family's 1831-position model. The record is from RNAcentral.